CCUACGGGCGGCAGCAGUGAGGAAUAUUGGUCAAUGGGCGCGAGCCUGAACCAGCCAAGUAGCGUGAAGGAUGACUGCCCUAUGGGUUGUAAACUUCUUUUAUAAAGGAAUAAAAUGAGGCACGUGUGCCUUUUUGUAUGUACUUUAUGAAUAAGGAUCGGCUAACUCCGUGCCAGCAGCCGCGGUAAUACGGAGGAUCCGAGCGUUAUCCGGAUUUAUUGGGUUUAAAGGGAGCGUAGGUGGGUUGUUAAGUCAGUUGUGAAAGUUUGAGGCUCAACCGUAAUAUUGCAAUUGAUACUGGCAGCCUUGAGUACAGUUGAGGUAGGCGGAAUUCGUGGUGUAGCGGUGAAAUGCUUAGAUAUCACGAAGAACUCCGAGUGCGAAGGCAGCUUACUAAACUGCCACUGACAUUGAUGCUCGAAAGUGUGGGUAUCAAACAGGAUUAGAUACCCUUGUAGUC
This 460-nucleotide ribosomal RNA is filed under the name uncultured bacterium. Its description in RNAcentral is "partial 16S ribosomal RNA". It matches the Rfam family "Bacterial small subunit ribosomal RNA", at positions 338 to 795 of the family's 1533-position model. The record is from RNAcentral.